GGCCUUUUGAUUAUGAUUUAAGGUCUUGCCUGCCCAAUGAUGUAACAAGUUAAAUGGCCGCAGUAUCCUGACUGUGCAAAGGUAGCAUAAUCAUUAGUUUUUUAAUUGAAAGCUGGUAUGAAAGGUUUGAUGAAAGAGAAGCUGUCUCUAUUUAAAAUUUUAGAAAUUUAUUUUUAAGUAAAAAAGCUUAAAUUUAUAUUGAAGACGAGAAGACCCUGUAGAGUUUUAUUUAUAUAGUAAUAAAUAAAAUUUAGUAUUUAAGAUUUUAAUUUUAUAUAAAUUUAGUUGGGGUGAUUGAAAAAUUUGUUAAACUUUUUUUGUAUAAUUACAUUAAUUUAUGAGUUUAUGAUUCUUAAUAAAGAUUAAAAGAUAAAAUUACCUCAGGGAUAACAGCGUAAUUUUUUUUAGAGUUCUUAUCGAAUAAAAAGAUUGCGACCUCGAUGUUGGAUUAAAAUUUAAUUUUUGGUGUAGAAGCUAAAAAAUUAGGUCUGUUCGACCUUUAGAUUUUUACAUGAUCUGAGUUUAAACCGGUGUAAG
This 537-nucleotide ribosomal RNA is filed under the name Kyklioacalles fausti. RNAcentral's name for it is "partial 16S ribosomal RNA". It matches the Rfam family "Bacterial large subunit ribosomal RNA", at positions 1819 to 2625 of the family's 2925-position model. The record is from RNAcentral. Lineage: Eukaryota; Metazoa; Arthropoda; Insecta; Coleoptera; Curculionidae.